RNAcentral lists this ribosomal RNA (476 nucleotides) under uncultured organism. RNAcentral describes it as "partial 16S ribosomal RNA". It matches the Rfam family "Bacterial small subunit ribosomal RNA", at positions 334 to 801 of the family's 1533-position model. The record is from RNAcentral.
CACUCCUGCGGGAGGCAGCAGUGGGGAAUUUUGGACAAUGGGGGCAACCCUGAUCCAGCAAUGCCGCGUGAGUGAAGAAGGCCUUCGGGUUGUAAAGCUCUUUUGUCAGGGAAGAAACGGUGGUGGCGAAUAACUACUACUAAUGACGGUACCUGAAGAAUAAGCACCGGCUAACUACGUGCCAGCAGCCGCGGUAAUACGUAGGGUGCAAGCGUUAAUCGGAAUUACUGGGCGUAAAGCGUGCGCAGGCGGUUGUGUAAUUCAGAUGUGAAAUCCCCGGGCUCAACCUGGGAAUUGCAUUUGAUACUGCACGGCUAGAGUGUGUCAGAGGGGGGUAGAAUUCCACGUGUAGCAGUGAAAUGCGUAGAUAUGUGGAGGAAUACCGAUGGCGAAGGCAGCCCCCUGGGAUAACACUGACGCUCAUGCACGAAAGCGUGGGGAGCAAACAGGAUUAGAAACCCGGGUAGUCCCAUGAU